CUGGCUUGACUCUAUAUGAAGAUGAGACAUACUCUGUGGGAGCUGCAAACAUUAACAUCCAGGCACACAGUUUCCUGGAGAUAAAUUGUUUUCAGCCCUUCAAAGUGUUAACAUUAGGACAGCUUUAUGCAUUCUAGGUGACUGCAGCAGACAGCCUCAGCAGGAGCUUUAAAAUUAUCAAGAGGACAGAAGCAAAU
Long non-coding RNA from Malaclemys terrapin pileata, 197 nucleotides. RefSeq lists it as uncharacterized. Lineage: Eukaryota; Metazoa; Chordata; Testudines; Emydidae. The transcript has 3 exons. The record is from RefSeq and is a predicted model, not a curated record.